GUAUUGAGGUUGCUGUCCCUCCCGCACAG
This 29-nucleotide non-coding RNA is filed under the name Cricetulus griseus (Chinese hamster). Lineage: Eukaryota; Metazoa; Chordata; Mammalia; Rodentia; Cricetidae. The record is from RNAcentral.